UGCUGCUUAACAUGUCAAGGUCAAUGAAUGGAGAUGAUCUCAAUGCAUCAACCAGGGAGAAUGAAACAAUGUCAACCUCAUGGUUGAACAUUGAGAUGUGAUUGCUAGGAUGUCUAUAUGGAUCUCUGAACCUGUGCUUUUAACAGAUGACUCAGGCCUUUUUAUAGACUCAAAAGAUCAAACAAGCAAUAAUUUAAAGCCAAA
This 204-nucleotide long non-coding RNA is filed under the name Musa acuminata (dwarf banana). Its description in RNAcentral is "long non-coding RNA (MACU_LNC003063)". Lineage: Eukaryota; Viridiplantae; Streptophyta; Magnoliopsida; Zingiberales; Musaceae. The record is from RNAcentral.